Long non-coding RNA from Photinus pyralis (common eastern firefly), 567 nucleotides. RefSeq lists it as uncharacterized. The transcript has 3 exons. NCBI's taxonomy places the organism in Eukaryota, Metazoa, Arthropoda, Insecta, Coleoptera, Lampyridae. The record is from RefSeq and is a predicted model, not a curated record.
ACACGCCUUGACGCACAUUAUUAUUAUUAUUAUUAUUAUUAUUAUAAGCUCAAAUGAUUAAAUUUUGGGCUUCGGCACAAAACGCAUGUUCGCGCUACUUUUGUAUAGCUUAGCGUAGGUUAAUAUGGAUUUGUAAUUAUGAAUCCUUGAAUUCCAGAAAAUUUUGAUUCAUUGAAGACAGAGCGCCAAGCUGGUAGUACCACAUCACCAUGUGCGUCAGAGCACAGAAGGAAUAAAGGUAUCCACAAAGAGUUUGUUCAAAGGAGGUCAUGGACUACCCCAGAGAAGGAACUGGUUACACCAUUAUGUGAUUUUCAGACUUUUACAUUGCCCAGUUUGCAUGAAUGUAGCAAACUUGUACAUGCACAUCCUGAAUUAAAAAACAGAACUCCUGAACAAAUUAAAAGCUGGGUGUCUAACCAGUAUAAAGUCAAAACACCAAGAAAUAAAAAGAAAGUGGAAACUUGGAGUUCAACAGAGAAAAGAGAUUUGAAGCAGGCAUUUGCAUCAUAUAUUGACAACUACACUAUACCUGGACUUCCAUAUAUACAAAAAGUAAAACUACAA